RNAcentral lists this ribosomal RNA (429 nucleotides) under Bacillota bacterium. RNAcentral describes it as "Firmicutes bacterium partial 16S ribosomal RNA". It matches the Rfam family "Bacterial small subunit ribosomal RNA", at positions 355 to 776 of the family's 1533-position model. Lineage: Bacteria; Bacillati; Bacillota. The record is from RNAcentral.
UAGGGAAUCUUCGGCAAUGGACGGAAGUCUGACCGAGCAACGCCGCGUGAGUGAAGAAGGUUUUCGGAUCGUAAAGCUCUGUUGUUAGAGAAGAACGUUGGUAGGAGUGGAAAAUCUACCAAGUGACGGUAACUAACCAGAAAGGGACGGCUAACUACGUGCCAGCAGCCGCGGUAAUACGUAGGUCCCGAGCGUUGUCCGGAUUUAUUGGGCGUAAAGCGAGCGCAGGCGGUUCUUUAAGUCUGAAGUUAAAGGCAGUGGCUUAACCAUUGUACGGUUUGGAAACUGGAGGGCUUGAGUGCAGGAGGGGGGAGUGGAAUUCCAUGUGUAGCGGUGAAAUGCGUAGAUAUAUGGAGGGACACCGGUGGCGAAAGCGGCUCUCUGGUCUGUAACUGACGCUGGGGCUCGAAAGCGUGGGGAGCAAACAGG